UGCCAGCAGCCGCGGUAAUACGGAGGGUGCGAGCGUUAAUCGGAAUCACUGGGCGUAAAGGGCGCGCAGGCGGUCUUGUCAGUCAGGUGUGGAAGCCCGGGGCUCAACCCCGGAUGGUCACUUGAAACAGCAAGACUUGAGUACUGGAGAGGAAAGCGGAAUUCCUGGUGUAGAGGUGAAAUUCGUAGAUAUCAGGAGGAACACCGAUGGCGAAGGCAGCUUUCUGGACAGAUACUGACGCUGAGGCGCGAAGGCGUGGGUAGCGAACGGGAUUAGAUA
Molecule: ribosomal RNA, 279 nt
Filed under: uncultured bacterium
Lineage: Bacteria
Description: partial 16S ribosomal RNA
Rfam family: Bacterial small subunit ribosomal RNA
Source: RNAcentral